GAGAACUCGGGUGAAGGAACUAGGCAAAAUGGUACCGUAACUUCGGGAGAAGGUACGCUCUUGAUGGUGAAGUCCCUCGCGGAUGGAGCUGACGAGAGUCGCAGAUACCAGGUGGCUGCAACUGUUUAUUAAAAACACAGCACUGUGCAAAAUCGUAAGAUGACGUAUACGGUGUGACGCCUGCCCGGUGCCGGAAGGUUAAUUGAUGGGGUUAGACUUCGGUCGAAGCUCUUGAUCGAAGCCCCGGUAAACGGCGGCCGUAACUAUAACGGUCCUAAGGUAGCGAAAUUCCUUGUCGGGUAAGUUCCGACCUGCACGAAUGGCGUAAUGAUGGCCACGCUGUCUCCACCCGAGACUCAGUGAAAUUGAAAUCGCUGUGAAGAUGCAGUGUACCCGCGGCUAGACGGAAAGACCCCGUGAACCUUUACUACAGCUUGGCACUGAACAUUGACCCUACAUGUGUAGGAUAGGUGGGAGGCUUUGAAGCACGUACGCCAGUAUGUGUGGAGCCGUCCUUGAAAUACCACCCUUGUAGUGUUGAUGUUCUAACGUCGACCCCUUAUCGGGGUUGCGGACAGUGCCUGGUGGGUAGUUUGACUGGGGCGGUCUCCUCCCAAAGAGUAACGGAGGAGCACGAAGGUGGGCUAAUCACGGUUGGACAUCGUGAGGUUAGUGCAAUGGCAUAAGCCCGCUUGACUGCGAGAAUGACAAUUCGAGCAGGUGCGAAAGCAGGUCAUAGUGAUCCGGUGGUUCUGAAUGGAAGGGCCAUCGCUCAACGGAUAAAAGGUACUCCGGGGAUAACAGGCUGAUACCGCCCAAGAGUUCAUAUCGACGGCGGUGUUUGGCACCUCGAUGUCGGCUCAUCACAUCCUGGGGCUGAAGUCGGUCCCAAGGGUAUGGCUGUUCGCCAUUUAAAGUGGUACGCGAGCUGGGUUUAGAACGUCGUGAGACAGUUCGGUCCCUAUCUGCCGUGGGCGUUGGAAGAUUGAAGGGGGCUGCUCCUAGUACGAGAGGACCGGAGUGGACGAACCUCUGGUGUUCGGGUUGUGUCGCCAGACGCAUUGCCCGGUAGCUAAGUUCGGAAUCGAUAACCGCUGAAAGCAUCUAAGCGGGAAGCGAGCCCUGAGAUGAGUCUUCCCUGAUACUUUAAGUAUCCUAAAGGGUUGUCGGAGACUACGACGUUGAUAGGUCAGGUGUGUAAGUGCUGUGAGGCAUUGAGCUAACUGAUACUAAUUGCCCGUGAGGCUUAACCAUACAACACCCAAGGGGUUU
RNAcentral lists this ribosomal RNA (1272 nucleotides) under Vibrio parahaemolyticus. Its description in RNAcentral is "partial 23S ribosomal RNA". It matches the Rfam family "Bacterial large subunit ribosomal RNA", at positions 1694 to 2925 of the family's 2925-position model. Lineage: Bacteria; Pseudomonadati; Pseudomonadota; Gammaproteobacteria; Vibrionales; Vibrionaceae. The record is from RNAcentral.